Phrynosoma platyrhinos (Desert horned lizard) is the source of this 72-nucleotide non-coding RNA. Lineage: Eukaryota; Metazoa; Chordata; Lepidosauria; Squamata; Phrynosomatidae. The record is from the annotation of a GenBank genome assembly.
GCCAGCGUGGCAUAAUGGUUUGAGUGCUGGACUAUGACUCUGCAGACCAGGGCUCAAUUCCCUGCUCAGCCA